Molecule: long non-coding RNA, 825 nt
Filed under: Equus asinus (donkey)
Lineage: Eukaryota; Metazoa; Chordata; Mammalia; Perissodactyla; Equidae
Description: lncRNA (ENSEASG00005026743.1)
Source: RNAcentral
AGUAAUUGUCAUUGUGGUAGCUAGUAGUAGUAGGAGCAGGAGUAGUAAUAGUAGGAGUAGUAACUGUCAUUGUGGUAGCUAGUAGUAGUAGGAGCAGUAGGAGGAGUAGUAAUAGCAGGAGUAGUAAUUGUCAUUGUGGUAGCUAGUAGUAGUAGGAGCAGGAGUAGUAAUAGUAGGAGUAGUAACUGUCAUUGUGGUAGCUAGUAGUAGUAUUAGUAGGAGUAGGAGUAGUAAUAGUAGGAGUAGUAACUGUCAUUGUGGUAGCUAGUAGUAGGAGGAGUAGGAGUAGGAGUAGUAACUGUCAUUGUAGUAGCUAGUAGUAGUAGUAGCAGUAGGAGGAGUAGUAAUAGCAGGAGUAGUAAUUGUCAUUGUAGUAGUUAGUACUAGUAGUAGUAGUAGCAGUAGGAGGAGUAGUAAUAGCAGGAGUAGUAAUUGUCAUUGUAGUAGUUAGUAGUAGUAGUAGCAGUAGGAGGAGUAGUAAUAGUAGGAGUAGUAACUGUCAUUGUAGUAGCUAGUAGUAGUAGUAGCAGUAGGAGGAGUAGUAAUAGUAGGAGUAGUAAUUGUCAUUGUAGUUAGUAGGAGUAGGAGUAGGAGUAGUAAUAGUAGGAGUAGUAACUGUCAUUGUAGUAGCUAGUAGUAGUAGUAGCAGUAGGAGGAGUAGUAAUAGCAGGAGUAGUAAUUGUCAUUGUAGUAGUUAGUAGGAGUAGGAGUAGGAGUAGUAAUAGUAGGAGUAGUAAUUGUCAUUGCAGGAGCAAUAGUCACAAUAGUGGCACGAGUUGUAGGACUUCCAAUCAUUAUAGGAACAGUCGUAGCAGCCGUAGUUAU